UACGUAGGGUGCGAGCGUUAAUCGGAAUUACUGGGCGUAAAGCGUGCGCAGGCGGUUCGUUGUGUCGGCGGUGAAAGCCCCGGGCUCAACCUGGGAAUGGCCGUUGAAACUGGCGAACUGGAGUGUGGCAGAGGGGGGUGGAAUUCCGCGUGUAGCAGUGAAAUGCGUAGAGAUGCGGAGGAACACCGAUGGCGAAGGCAGCCCCCUGGGCUGACACUGACGCUCAGGCACGAAAGCCAGGGGAGCAAACGGG
This 253-nucleotide ribosomal RNA is filed under the name uncultured bacterium. RNAcentral describes it as "partial 16S ribosomal RNA". It matches the Rfam family "Bacterial small subunit ribosomal RNA", at positions 524 to 776 of the family's 1533-position model. The record is from RNAcentral.